Molecule: ribosomal RNA, 405 nt
Filed under: Burkholderiaceae bacterium
Lineage: Bacteria; Pseudomonadati; Pseudomonadota; Betaproteobacteria; Burkholderiales; Burkholderiaceae
Description: partial 23S ribosomal RNA
Rfam family: Bacterial large subunit ribosomal RNA
Source: RNAcentral
CUCGAUGUCGGCUCAUCACAUCCUGGGGCUGUAGUCGGUCCCAAGGGUAUGGCUGUUCGCCAUUUAAAGUGGUACGUGAGCUGGGUUUAAAACGUCGUGAGACAGUUUGGUCCCUAUCUGCCGUGGGCGUUGGAAGUUUGAGGGGGGCUGCUCCUAGUACGAGAGGACCGGAGUGGACGAACCUCUGGUGUACCGGUUGUCACGCCAGUGGCAUCGCCGGGUAGCUAAGUUCGGGAAAGAUAACCGCUGAAAGCAUCUAAGCGGGAAACUUGCCCCAAGAUGAGACUUCCCGGAGACUAGAUCUCCCUAAAGAGUCGUUCAAGACCAGAACGUUGAUAGGCUGGGUGUGGAAGCGCAGUAAUGCGUUAAGCUAACCAGUACUAAUUGCUCGUGAGGCUUGUCCUC